Podarcis lilfordi (Lilford's wall lizard) is the source of this 76-nucleotide non-coding RNA. The record is from the annotation of a GenBank genome assembly. Lineage: Eukaryota; Metazoa; Chordata; Lepidosauria; Squamata; Lacertidae.
GCUGCAGUGUUAGCUCAGUUGGUAGAGCAUGAAACUCUUUAUCUCAGGGUUGUGGGUUUGAGCCCCACAUUGGGUG